This 496-nucleotide ribosomal RNA is filed under the name uncultured bacterium. RNAcentral's name for it is "partial 16S ribosomal RNA". It matches the Rfam family "Bacterial small subunit ribosomal RNA", at positions 28 to 506 of the family's 1533-position model. The record is from RNAcentral.
GAUGAACGCUGGCGGCGUGCCUAAUACAUGCAAGUCGAGCGAACAGACGAGGAGCUUGCUCCUCUGACGUUAGCGGCGGACGGGUGAGUAACACGUGGAUAACCUACCUAUAAGACUGGGAUAACUUCGGGAAACCGGAGCUAAUACCGGAUAAUAUAUUGAACCGCAUGGUUCAAUAGUGAAAGACGGUUUUGCUGUCACUUAUAGAUGGAUCCGCGCCGCAUUAGCUAGUUGGUAAGGUAACGGCUUACCAAGGCAACGAUGCGUAGCCGACCUGAGAGGGUGAUCGGCCACACUGGAACUGAGACACGGUCCAGACUCCUACGGGAGGCAGCAGUAGGGAAUCUGCCGCAAUGGGCGAAAGCCUGACGGAGCAACGCCGCGUGAGUGAUGAAGGUCUGCGGAUCGUAAAACUCUGUUAUUAGGGAAGAACAAAUGUGUAAGUAACUAUGCACGUCUUGACGGUACCUAAUCAGAAAGCCACGGCUAACUACGG